Molecule: non-coding RNA, 87 nt
Organism: Trichonephila clavipes
Lineage: Eukaryota; Metazoa; Arthropoda; Arachnida; Araneae; Nephilidae
Source: the annotation of a GenBank genome assembly
GGCCCGUUAAUAGUCUCAUUCGUUGUCGUUGGUUAGAGCGUCGAGCUAAUAACGCGAAGGUCGCGGGUUCGAUCCCCUCACGGGCCA